Molecule: ribosomal RNA, 253 nt
Filed under: uncultured bacterium
Lineage: Bacteria
Description: partial 16S ribosomal RNA
Rfam family: Bacterial small subunit ribosomal RNA
Source: RNAcentral
UACGGAGGGGGCUAGCGUUGUUCGGAAUUACUGGGCGUAAAGCGCACGUAGGCGGCCUGUUAAGUCGGGGGUGAAAUCCUGGGGCUCAACCUCAGAAUUGCCUCCGAUACUGGCAGUCUCGAGUGCGGGAGAGGUGAGUGGAAUUCCCAGUGUAGAGGUGAAAUUCGUAGAUAUUAGGAAGAACACCAGUGGCGAAGGCGGCUCACUGGUCCGGUACUGACGCUGAGGUGCGAAAGCGUGGGGAGCAAACAGG